This 455-nucleotide ribosomal RNA is filed under the name uncultured eukaryote. RNAcentral's name for it is "SSU rRNA". It matches the Rfam family "Eukaryotic small subunit ribosomal RNA", at positions 624 to 1085 of the family's 1831-position model. The record is from RNAcentral.
AAGCUCGUAGUUGAACCUUGGGCCUGGCUGGCCGGUCCGCCUCACCGCGUGUACUGGUCCGGCCGGGCCUUUCCCUCUGUGGAACCUCAUGCCCUUCACUGGGUGUGGCGGGGAAACAGGACUUUUACUUUGAAAAAAUUAGAGUGCUCCAGGCAGGCCUAUGCUCGAAUACAUUAGCAUGGAAUAAUAAAAUAGGACGUGUGGUUCUAUUUUGUUGGUUUCUAGGACCGCCGUAAUGAUUAAUAGGGACAGUCGGGGGCAUCAGUAUUCAAUUGUCAGAGGUGAAAUUCUUGGAUUUAUUGAAGACUAACUACUGCGAAAGCAUUUGCUAAGGAUGUUUUCAUUAAUCAGGAACGAAAGUUAGGGGAUCGAAGACGAUCAGAUACCGUCGUAGUCUUAACCAUAAACUAUGCCGACUAGGGAUCGGACGAUGUUAUUUUUUGACGCGUUCGGCA